AAAAAAAAUUGAAGUCCAGAGUAUUAGGGAGAGCCUUGGCCCCCCAAAACUUCUUCCAAGCUAUCACUUUUUCUUAUUGGCUAACCAAAAUUUAUUGAUACUCUUUUUUUUUGCCAUCCCCUAUUGGCUAACGCUUUGUCUGGUUAUCUACUUGUUUAAGGGAAUAGAAAGAAAUACAAUGAAGGAAAAGAAGAGGAGAGAACAGAAAAGUAAUAUUAAUUUUCCCUCAUG
This 231-nucleotide unclassified non-coding RNA is filed under the name Hevea brasiliensis (rubber tree). The record is from RNAcentral. Lineage: Eukaryota; Viridiplantae; Streptophyta; Magnoliopsida; Malpighiales; Euphorbiaceae.